RNAcentral lists this ribosomal RNA (315 nucleotides) under uncultured eukaryote. RNAcentral describes it as "partial large subunit ribosomal RNA". It matches the Rfam family "Eukaryotic large subunit ribosomal RNA", at positions 40 to 350 of the family's 3401-position model. The record is from RNAcentral.
AUAUCAAUAAGCGGAGGAAAAGAAACCAACAGGGAUUGCCUUAGUAACGGCGAGUGAAGCGGCAACAGCUCAAAUUUGGAAUCUGGUGUCCUCCGGCACCCGAGUUGUAAUUUGUAGAGGAUGUUUCUGGCGUGGCACCGACCGAAGUUCCUUGGAACAGGACGUCAUAGAGGGUGAGAACCCCGUAUGCGUUCGGCUGCCAUCGCCUCUGUGAAGCUCCUUCAAAGAGUCGAGUUGUUUGGGAAUGCAGCUCUAAAUGGGUGGUAAAUUCCAUCUAAAGCUAAAUACCGGCCAGAGACCGAUAGCGCACAAGUA